GCUCUAAAAGCUCAAUUGGUUUCGAGUGUUCGAUUGAAAAUCGAAAGGUUGCAGGUUCAAUCCCCGCUUAGAGCA
This 75-nucleotide transfer RNA is filed under the name Tupiella akineta. Its description in RNAcentral is "tRNA-Phe". It matches the Rfam family "tRNA". From Rfam's summary of the family: Transfer RNA (tRNA) molecules are approximately 80 nucleotides in length. Their secondary structure includes four short double-helical elements and three loops (D, anti-codon, and T loops). Lineage: Eukaryota; Viridiplantae; Chlorophyta; Ulvophyceae; Ulotrichales; Tupiellaceae. The record is from RNAcentral.